This is a non-coding RNA of Camellia sinensis, 514 nucleotides long. The record is from RefSeq and is a predicted model, not a curated record. NCBI's taxonomy places the organism in Eukaryota, Viridiplantae, Streptophyta, Magnoliopsida, Ericales, Theaceae.
GUCAACUGCAAUUAAUAACAAAUCAAUAUCUUUUCUGGUUUUCUAGUUUGACUUCCUUGUUAAAGAUUCAAUUAGAUACCAAAAUGAGGUUGAAGUUGAACUUCCUGUGUUCAAGGCAAUUCAGCAGUUCCGAACUGGAAAAAAUGGCGGCGAUGAUCUUUUUGACAAGCUGGAUACCAAUAAACUGAAUGCUCAUCUGAAGGAACUCAUGACUGGUCUCACAACAAAGGUUUUCCGUAAAUAUAAUGCAUCGAUAACUUUGGAUGAGAUGGUAAGAGGCAAGCUGGGAUUUUUCACACCUUGAAGUUAGUAUUUUUCCUGUGAAUAUGAAUUUACUAUGUUAACCAAACUUUUGGUACACAUGGGAGUGUUUGUGUUGGUGUUUGGAUUGUCUGACCAUCAACUUUUGGUACACAUGGGAAUAUGGGACCCGGCCAAAUAGUUGUACUGGUGCUUAUUUGAAAGGUGGUACUAGGGUGAAGUAAUAAAAAAUUAAUAAAUGUAGGCUAUCUAA